Molecule: ribosomal RNA, 600 nt
Filed under: Streptococcus lutetiensis
Lineage: Bacteria; Bacillati; Bacillota; Bacilli; Lactobacillales; Streptococcaceae
Description: bacterial SSU rRNA
Rfam family: Bacterial small subunit ribosomal RNA
Source: RNAcentral
ACCUGAGUGGGUGAUCGGCCACACAGGGACCGACACACGGCCCAACUCCUACGGAGGCAGCAUUGGGAAUCUCGGCAUGGGGGCACCCUCACGAGCAACGCCCGGAGUGAAGAACGUUUUCGGAUCGUACAGCUCUUAGUAAGAGAAAAAAGUGCGUGAGAGUGGAAAGUUCACACAGUGACAGUAACUUACCAGAAUGGGACAGCAAAAUACGUGCCACCAGCCGCGGUAAUACUUAGGUCCCGAGCGUUGUCCGGAUUUAUUGGGCGUAAAGCGGGCGCAGGCCGUUUAAUAAGUCUGAAGUUAAAGGCAGUGGCUUAACCAUUGUUCGCUUUGGAGACUGUUAGACUUGAGUGCACAAUGGGAGAGUGGAAUUCCAUGUGUAGCGGUAAACUGCGUAGAUAUCUUGAAGAACACCGGUAGCUAAUGCGGCUCUCUCGUCUGUAACUGACGCUCAGGCUCGGUGCGUGACGGAGCAGACAGGAUAGAUACCCGGGUACUCCACGCCUAUACCAUUAGAGCUCUGUGUUAGGCCCUUCUCCUGGGCUCAGUGCCACACUGACGCAUAUGCACUCCGCCAGGGAGUACGACCGCCAUGCG